Molecule: ribosomal RNA, 253 nt
Filed under: uncultured bacterium
Lineage: Bacteria
Description: partial 16S ribosomal RNA
Rfam family: Bacterial small subunit ribosomal RNA
Source: RNAcentral
UACGAAGGGGGCUAGCGUUGCUCGGAAUUACUGGGCGUAAAGGGCGCGUAGGCGGAUAGUUUAGUCAGAGGUAAAAGCCCAGGGCUCAACCUUGGAACUGCCUUUGAUACUGGCUAUCUUGAGUUCGGGAGAGGUGAGUGGAAUGCCGAGUGUAGAGGUGAAAUUCGUAGAUAUUCGGCGGAACACCAGUGGCGAAGGCGACUCACUGGCCCGAUACUGACGCUCAUGCACGAAAGCGUGGGGAGCAAACAGG